AAUGGAGUCAGGAGGUGAAUAUGGGGGCCCAGAGAGAUGGGGGGCGGUGUCACGGUGAGGUUCCGAAUGAAGGCCUGAAGAAGUUCACUAUGAAAUGAAGCAAAUUUGAGCAUUAUAUCAACCACAAAAAAUCAUGCCAACUGUCCAAACUACAGUCAUGAUCUGAACACAUGAAAGUAGUGUAGCAAUAUCUUCUUUGUACAAAAUAUCUCAGAAAAGUAUACUCCAUCUUCUAUCUACAAAAAACAUAUGUUCUGAAAAAAAAUCAGUAAAAUAUACAUCAUCUUCUAGUACAAAUAUCUUCUCCUCUGAACAAUCACACUGAACAAAUUUAGGACCAGUUAGUCAGAAAUGUUAGCAACAACAUGAAUAGUACACUUAUCAACAUCCACUAAUUAUCCUACAAUUGAAAUACAAAGAAAGGUCGAUGAGAGAGAAGGUAGACCAGGAGAUUAAGGAGCUCCAGGGGCGCGCGGCAGAGAGAGGUUACUUGGUCUAGGCUGCCGCGCGGCCAGGGACGGCAGCGAGCUUGGGCAGAGGCAGAGCGAAAGUGUACCUUGCCUAUUGGCACACAUAGAAAAUGAGUUACAUGGUUACAUUUACUAUCAGCAGGAUGGUUCAGAAUAAAGAAAGUCUGAUGACAUAGAAAGGUAAUUAGGUUGUAGAGCAACCCCAUUUUCACUGAACCGCAAUGAAGUGCACUGAACAAAUCUUUCCCUACUAAUAAAUCACGGAGUGCUUCUGGUCGUACAUCAUCGUCACUUUUGCAAAAAAGUCCCUCUACUUCUGAGAAUUCAACCCGCACUCUGAUUUUAAGUGAAUAUCUGAGAAGACGUUUCGUUUCUACACAAAACCCCUGCAGUUUUUAGUAUUCAGCCCGCUAUCUUUUUUAGUGGAGAGAGGAGAGGCGGGCGAGUGGGAAAGGCGACCGGCGGCUGCGAGGCUUGCGGUGGCGCGGUCGGCGAGGAUCCACCGGAUCUCGCCGGAUCCGGUGGGAAAUGGCGCGCAGGCGCCGGAUCUGGAAGGAAGUAAGCCGGACCUUGGAGCACGACUGCUGGCGGGUGCGCGUCUGGUACCUAUGAGAGAAGAGAGAACGAGCUGGAGAGAAAAGGAAGGACGGGAGGAAGGAGAUGGAAGGCAGGAGGGAGAGAGAACGGAGCGGCGAGGUGCGGCAGUGGUCCUGCUGGGAGGAAGGAGAUGGGAGGCCAGAGGAAGAGAGAAGGGACCGGUGAGGUGCGGCGGUGGUCCUCCUCCUGCUGCUGCUUGUCGGUGGGUCGCCGGCCAUCGGUUCGUGGUGGGGCUCGGGUGCGCGGAGGCGUCAGGGUCGAGGGAGCUCUCCUCCCUCGCGGCUGGAGGCGCUCGGGAUCGAGCGAGUGGGCAAGGGGAUCGGGAGCCCCUGGUGGCUGCCUGCUUGGGGAUUGCACGAGAUGCUGCUCGGGCCGUGGGCUGGCCGACUCUAUCUCCUCGAUCCAGGGCCCCGUGCUCGUCAGCGCCCGCCCCCAUCGCGCACGACUUUUCUGAUCCAGCGUGCAGCGAGGGCACCGCCGCUGCCAAUCUCGCUGCCGCCCUGUCGCGGAUCGCCACGCCCGCCAACGCCCCAGCCAUCCCUCAUUUUAUUCACUUCACCAGCUUGUUAGGGUCCCUCUCCACUGAUCUGAACACCGCUGCUACAUCCCCUAUUGCGAUCAUCCCUUGCUGAUCUGGGAGGCGCUGGAGUUCCGGUGGGCCGGCGUGCGCGGGGACGCGGGAGAGGUGCUGGAUGCGCUCAACGCAUGGAGGAAGGAGGAGGUGCUCGGGAGGCUCGGGAAGAUUUGGGCUUGCGGGGAGAGGCCUUGAAGCAGUGGCGGCCGUUGAUUGAGGAGUGCUGCGCAUGGUGGCUGGACAUACAGGGAGUGAGGAAGAAGACGUUGGGGCCGGCUGAAGAAGAUAAGAUUGGAGGAGACAGCGGUGCAUGUGGGUUACGGGGUGCCAAACGAUACGCGUCGCCAGCGCGAGACGGUUGAUGGAAUCGUUGUCGCCUACAGCUGAACAUAAGGUUGGAGUAAUAAAAAAAAUGCAUGCACGCGUCCCUCCUGAGCUUCUUCACUUGUUUCUUGCCGUGCAUGCAUACAGGGAUUUGGUUCUACCUUUUUUUUCUAGAUUUUGGAUUUACAUCUGUUUGUUUUAUCAUUUUUCUGCUUUCUAAAUUGCUUCAAGGAAAAACUUGAUACCCUAGCAUGAAAAUAACACAUAUUCUGAUGCUAAUCUCUAACGUAAUUAAAUUUAUUUAUAAGUAGCUACAUAGGCUAUAUUUAUAAUGCAAUUCUUAUAUCAACUUACGAGAAAAGACUUCAUGGUUAGCGCACACACAACAUGUUUGGGUGCUAGGCGAAGUAUACAACAAUUUUAUUGUGUGAUAUCAGUAACUCAACAUCAGUGUUGAUAUGCGUUGUCACUAUAUAUUGACAGUCUAAUCUACAAUGUCAUCUUGAAGUCAGACGAAAAACAUCAUGUGUGCUCUUACUUCAAAAAUAUUUGAAUUAGUAAUCGAACUCUUGAAAAAUGUGCUUCAAAGUCGAGAAAAAUGCACUCUGUGAAAGUCCUCCUGGCACCCCUCUCUCUCUAAACACUGCCCCUCCACCCCGUAACAAUGCAUGGGCAUAUUUUAUAUUAGUAGAUUUAAAAAAUUCUGAAUAUUUUAUAGAUAUUCAUAUUAGUGUAGCAAGUGAGCUUGACAAUUUUCAUGUCAUAUGGGAUAGCAUUGCUUCGUCGGUGAAAAAAAAAAUCAAGUGAAACAUUCGGCACCCAGAACACCAUGGUUGGAGAAUGGGGAUUCAUUUGGAAUUUGAGGAGUGAGACAUACGAGAUGAUGAUUUUUUUCACUCUAAUUGUUGGCUACAUGCGCAGUGACGACUCUAAGCUAGCUGCUACUACAAAUAAAUCAUAUCCACUCUCAAUGGACCAAACCAAAACAAAGUGCAAAAUAAAUAAGAAAUGAUAGAUAUAAUUUUUCACUCAUAUUAGUGUACCAGAAAAAAGUUUAGGGCACGGGCAUUUGCUUCCGGUGGUACGUAAUCAAAAUUGCUCUUGAAGUUGUAAAAUAUUACCCACCGAUGCCACAUGUAAUUGAAGAAAAACGUUUCACACAGGGGCUCCUCGCCUGGGCCAGCCCAACAGGAACCUUCUAUACUGCAUGCUCGCUGGGAGAACAACCAGCGCGCCAGUUUGGGCCGGCCUGUUUUAUAAUUUCGUACUUCAUUUUUCGUUUUCCUUUUCCGUCUUUUUUCUAAUUUUAGUAAGUUGGGAAUUCAAAAAAAUACCGAAUUUAAAAAAAGGAGAAUUAUGAUAUUUUUAAAAAUGUUCACAAUUAAAAAGAUAUUUGCAGAUAUUAUAAAAUGUUCAUGAUUUUGAAAAUUUUCGAAAAUCUGUAAAUAGGUUCGUGAAUUUGAAAAAUGUCCACGAGUUAAAAAAAAUGUUCAUGAUCUUGAAAAGUUGUUCAUGAUUUCACGAAAAUGAGAGAGAUGGUGUAUCUCGGUGAUGCAGCAAAAUUUGAUCAUGACCAUGGGACAUUAUGAUUUUUCUUCCUCCCGUUGCAACCCACGGGCCCUUUUGCUAAAUAAAAAAAUAUUCGUUGAUUCUAGAAAUGUUCGCUAUUCAAGAAAAUUGUUUAAAAAUGAUCACUUUUUAAAAAAUGUUUGCACUUUUUAUAAAACAUUCAUAAAUUCAGAAAAUGCUCUUGAUUUUAGAAAAUGUUUGAAAAUUUUAAAAGUGUUUACGCAUUUGAAAAAUGUUCACGAUUCAUAUAUGUGCAUGAGUUUAAAAAAUGUUCAUGAUUUCACGAAAUUGCAUGUGAUAGUGUAUCUUGGUGUGCAACAAAAUGUAGUCACGGUCAGUGGAGAUUACAAUUAUUUUUUUCCCGUUGCAACGCACGGGCCCUUUUGCUAGUAUUAUACGAGAUUGUAGGACAAACCUCGAUGCUCCAGUGUUAGACUCAACCCAACAGUACUAUUAUCUUUUGACGAAAAACACCAUUACUAAUAACAGUCGGAAAAAACCGUUACUAAUAACAGGCAGAUGCAUUCAUGAUGCAAAAUUUAAAAUCUACAAUCAUCAUUUAUUUUAGAAAAACAGAGUAUCAUAUAUGUACUUCGGAGUUUCAAGCUCAGAACCUUCAAAUUUCACGAAUCAAAUGUAUAACUGACAAUCAACAAAGUUAUCGGAUGACUGACAAGUCGGGAUUUGGUAAUUUUACCUCUUUGAUGGAGCUAUAAAUAAUCUCCAUAUGCACAUUCUAAUCAAUCUGCACGCACACAAAAUAAUCCCAAAUAUCAUCCACCCAACAAAAAUCUGCAGUAAACAAAAACACUUCAUCACCCUCACAAAAAAAGAACACUUCAUCAGGAGAACAGUACCAACGUUUUCAGAUUGUUCUUACUUAUAAGUUGGAAGGAUUACUGAUUCAUUAAGCU
RNAcentral lists this long non-coding RNA (4448 nucleotides) under Triticum aestivum (bread wheat). RNAcentral describes it as "long non-coding RNA (TAES_LNC020948)". Lineage: Eukaryota; Viridiplantae; Streptophyta; Magnoliopsida; Poales; Poaceae. The record is from RNAcentral.